GACGAACGCUGGCGGCGUGCUUAACACAUGCAAGUCGAACGGAAAGGCCCUGCUUUUGUGGGGUGCUCGAGUGGCGAACGCGUGAGUAACACGCGAGUAACCUGCCCUUGACUUUGGGAUAACUUCAGGAAACUGGGGCUAAUACCGGAUAGGAGCUCCUGCUGCACGGUGGGGGUUGGAAAGUUUCGGCGGUUGGGGAUGGACUCGCGGCUUAUCAGCUUGUUGGUGGGGUAGUGGCUUACCAAGGCUUUGACGGGUAGCCGGCCUGAGAGGGUGACCGGCCACCUUGGGGCUGCGAGACGGCCCAGACUCCUACGGGAGGCAGCAGUGGAGAAUAUUGCACAAUGGCCCGACGCCUGAGGCAGCGACCCCGGGUGCGGGAUACCGGCCUACGGGUUGUAAACCGCUUUCGCCUGUGACGAAGAGUGAGUGACGGUAAUGGGUAAAAAAGCAACGGCUAACUACGUG
Molecule: ribosomal RNA, 468 nt
Filed under: uncultured bacterium
Lineage: Bacteria
Description: partial 16S ribosomal RNA
Rfam family: Bacterial small subunit ribosomal RNA
Source: RNAcentral